This 427-nucleotide ribosomal RNA is filed under the name uncultured bacterium. RNAcentral's name for it is "partial 16S ribosomal RNA". It matches the Rfam family "Bacterial small subunit ribosomal RNA", at positions 355 to 774 of the family's 1533-position model. The record is from RNAcentral. RNAcentral also lists the same sequence under 1 other name.
UAGGGAAUCUUCCGCAAUGGACGAAAGUCUGACGGAGCAACGCCGCGUGAGUGAUGAAGGUUUUCGGAUCGUAAAACUCUGUUAUUAGGGAAGAACAAAUGCGUAAGUAACUGUGCGCAUCUUGACGGUACCUAAUCAGAAAGCCACGGCUAACUACGUGCCAGCAGCCGCGGUAAUACGUAGGUGGCAAGCGUUAUCCGGAAUUAUUGGGCGUAAAGCGCGCGUAGGCGGUUUCUUAAGUCUGAUGUGAAAGCCCACGGCUCAACCGUGGAGGGUCAUUGGAAACUGGGAAACUUGAGUACAGAAGAGGAAAGUGGAAUUCCAUGUGUAGCGGUGAAAUGCGCAGAGAUAUGGAGGAACACCAGUGGCGAAGGCGACUUUCUGGUCUGUAACUGACGCUGAUGUGCGAAAGCGUGGGGAUCAAACA